GGACUGAUAGCUCAGUGGAUAGAGCACCCGCCUUCUAAGCGGGUGGUCGUAGGUUCGAAUCCUACUCAGUCCGCCA
RNAcentral lists this transfer RNA (76 nucleotides) under Verrucomicrobiota bacterium. RNAcentral's name for it is "Verrucomicrobia bacterium (activated sludge metagenome) tRNA-Arg". It matches the Rfam family "tRNA". From Rfam's summary of the family: Transfer RNA (tRNA) molecules are approximately 80 nucleotides in length. Their secondary structure includes four short double-helical elements and three loops (D, anti-codon, and T loops). Further hydrogen bonds mediate the characteristic L-shaped molecular structure. tRNAs have two regions of fundamental functional importance: the anti-codon, which is responsible for specific mRNA codon recognition, and the 3' end, to which the tRNAs corresponding amino acid is attached (by aminoacyl-tRNA synthetases). tRNAs cope with the degeneracy of the genetic code in two manners: having more than one tRNA (with a specific anti-codon) for a particular amino acid; and 'wobble' base-pairing, i.e. permitting non-standard base-pairing at the 3rd anti-codon position. RNAcentral also lists the same sequence under 1 other name. The record is from RNAcentral. Lineage: Bacteria; Pseudomonadati; Verrucomicrobiota.